AUGACGCUUCAGGAUGCAGUUGAUUUCGAAGGUAUGGUCCUGAAGUGUCUGGAAUUUGGAGGCCCUGUGCAACCGGAGCCGCUCCGGUUGCACAUGCCAAGAUAUGAGCCUGGGGGUUGCAAUGGAGCACCAUCGGUGAUUGCAAUGGAGGGCUUCUGGCGCUGCAAUGAAGCGCCGCCGGUGCUUCGACUGUCGCGCGGUGCUGUGAUUGGUGCUGCCAUGGAAGCUGUUGCGCUGAAGCUUUUUGAUCGUGCUCGGUGUUGCCAUUUUGAGCAGCGACCCGGAUGGCUCCCCGGUGUUGUGAUCUGGUGGUCGCCGAUGGCACCAGUGCUCUGA
RNAcentral lists this ribosomal RNA (336 nucleotides) under Triticum aestivum (bread wheat). RNAcentral describes it as "partial small subunit ribosomal RNA". Lineage: Eukaryota; Viridiplantae; Streptophyta; Magnoliopsida; Poales; Poaceae. The record is from RNAcentral.